RNAcentral lists this long non-coding RNA (261 nucleotides) under Elaeis guineensis (African oil palm). RNAcentral's name for it is "long non-coding RNA (EGUI_LNC061524)". The record is from RNAcentral. Lineage: Eukaryota; Viridiplantae; Streptophyta; Magnoliopsida; Arecales; Arecaceae.
GGGUCUGAAAAACCACUUUUUUUCUAAAAUAAUCUACUUUGCUUGAUGUAUAGAUGAUCAAUCCAUGCCCAAAAUAGCAUCAAAAUUAUGUAUAUCUAGGAAAAUCAAAUCUAUUGCUAGCUCAUGCUCACCCACUCGAACCAAACAACCCCUGUAUACUUGAUUUGCAAUAAAUGGCUCUCCCACUGGCACAGGUACCACCAGACUAUAGUUUAAUAGACUUAAACUCUUAUCGAUAUGCAUGAAAAAUAUAGGUGAUAG